GACGAACGCUGGCGGCGUGCUUAACACAUGCAAGUCGAACGGGAUCCAAAGGCUUUUUGUUUUUGGUGAGAGUGGCGAACGGGUGAGUAACACGUGAGUAACCUGCCCCCUUCUUUUGGAUAACCGCAUGAAAGUGUGGCUAAUACAGGAUAAUCCAGGCUGGUCGCAUGAUUGGUUUGGGAAAUGGUUUGGUCUGGUGGGGGAUGGGCUCGCGGCCUAUCAGCUUGUUGGUGGGGUGAUGGCCUACCAAGGCGGUGACGGGUAGCCGGCCUGAGAGGGUGGGCGGUCACACUGGGACUGAGAUACGGCCCAGACUCCUACGGGAGGCAGCAGUGGGGGAUUUUGCACAAUGGGCGCAAGCCUGAUGCAGCGACGCCGCGUGAGGGAUGAAGGCCUUCGGGUUGUAAACCUCUUUCGCUGGGUUGAAAGGCCAUGCUUUGGGUGUGGUUGAUUUGAACUGGUAAAGAAGUACCGGCUAACUACGUGCCAGCAGCCGCGGUAAUU
This 504-nucleotide ribosomal RNA is filed under the name uncultured bacterium. RNAcentral describes it as "bacterial SSU rRNA". It matches the Rfam family "Bacterial small subunit ribosomal RNA", at positions 28 to 525 of the family's 1533-position model. The record is from RNAcentral.